This 316-nucleotide ribosomal RNA is filed under the name Foraminifera environmental sample. RNAcentral describes it as "SSU rRNA". It matches the Rfam family "Eukaryotic small subunit ribosomal RNA", at positions 1176 to 1452 of the family's 1831-position model. Lineage: Eukaryota; Foraminifera. The record is from RNAcentral.
GUGGAGCAUGUGGCUUAAUUUGACUCAACGCGGGAAAUCUUACCGGGUCCGGACACACUGAGGAUUGACAGGUGUUUCGUAGUGGUGUUAUUAUAUUUAUAUAAUAGCUUACUUACUACAUAUCAAAUAUGCUAGUCCUUUCAUGAUUGUGUGAUAGGUGGUGCAUGGCCGUUCUUAGUUCGUGGAGUGAUCUGUCUGCUUAAUUGCGUUUCACUUAUGGUAUUAGCUAUAUAACAGCGCGUUUGUGACCUCACUUUUAGUGCAGCGUCCAACAUGCUAACAUAUACUUUUACCUCGAAGGCAACGAACGUGACCG